RNAcentral lists this ribosomal RNA (555 nucleotides) under uncultured bacterium. RNAcentral's name for it is "partial 16S ribosomal RNA". It matches the Rfam family "Bacterial small subunit ribosomal RNA", at positions 355 to 900 of the family's 1533-position model. The record is from RNAcentral.
UAGGGAAUCUUCCACAAUGGACGCAAGUCUGAUGGAGCAACGCCGCGUGAGUGAAGAAGGUUUUCGGACCGUAAAGCUCUGUUGUUGGUGAAGAAGGAUAGAGGUAGUAACUGGCCUUUAUUUGACGGUAAUCAACCAGAAAGUCACGGCUAACUACGUGCCAGCAGCCGCGGUAAUACGUGGGUGGCAAGCGUUGUCCGGAUUUAUUGGGCGUAAAGCGAGCGCAGGCGGAAGAAUAAGUCUGAUGUGAAAGCCCUCGGCUUAACCGAGGAAUUGCAUCGGAAACUGUUUUCUUGAGUGCAGAAGAGGAGAGUAGAACUCCAUGUGUAGCGGUGGAAUGCGUAGAUAUAUGGAAGAAUACCAGUGGCGAAGGCGGCUCUCUGGUCUGCAACUGACGCUGAGGCUCGAAAGCAUGGGUAGCGAACAGGAUUAGAUACCCUGGUAGUCCAUGCCGUAAAACGAUGAGUGCUAAGUGUUGGGAGGCUUCCGCCUCUCAGUGCUGCAGCUAACGCAUUAAGCACUCCGCCUGGGGGAGUACGACCGCAAGGUUGAAAC